RNAcentral lists this long non-coding RNA (456 nucleotides) under Macaca mulatta (Rhesus monkey). RNAcentral describes it as "lncRNA (ENSMMUG00000064737.1)". The record is from RNAcentral. Lineage: Eukaryota; Metazoa; Chordata; Mammalia; Primates; Cercopithecidae.
AUGAAAGAACUGCUUUUUUUUUCCUAUUUUUCUUUUUGUAUGUGUGUUAUAGAUGGAUCUGAGAACGCUGUCUGGGCUUGGUGCCAAGGGCUGGUAUUUCACAGCAGCGACCGCCUCACAGACGAGCUGUGGGAAGCAGGAGGGAGACUCUCUCUUAGGGUGCCACUACUAUGGAGACACAGCUGGGCUGAACAAGAUUUGCUUCAAACGACAACAAGAGAGACAGAAAGUAUCUGGUUCAACCGCUGCCCGAGCAGGCAGGCACCAGAAGAGCUAGCAGCCAAUCCGGCCAUGCUCGAAGCCAGCUCUGCAGCUCAGCCAAUCAGUGACAUCACUGAGGACUGUUUUUCUUCAAUCCUUAAGGAUUCAGCUUCUUACAUGGGUUUUGCCGGAGGUCAUGGGGAAGUACCAAGAGGUCUAAAUCAUGCUUUCUUUAGCUUGCCCAUGGUGAUGUGA